GAUGAACGCUAGCUACAGGCUUAACACAUGCAAGUCGCGGGGCAGCAUGGGGGUUGCUUGCAAUCCCCGAUGGCGACCGGCGCACGGGUGAGUAACGCGUAUCCAACCUGCCCUUCACCACGGGAUAACCCGGCGAAAGUCGGACUAAUACCGUAUGUUGUCCAUUGACGGCAUCCGAUUUGGACGAAAGGUUUGGCGGUGAAGGAUGGGGAUGCGUCCGAUUAGCUGGACGGCGGGGUGACGGCCGACCGUGGCGACGAUCGGUAGGGGUUCUGAGAGGAAGGUCCCCCACACUGGAACUGAGACACGGUCCAGACUCCUACGGGAGGCAGCAGUGAGGAAUAUUGGUCAAUGGGCGUAAGCCUGAACCAGCCAAGUAGCGUGCAGGAUGACGGCCCUAUGGGUUGUAAACUGCUUUUAUGCGGGGAUAAAGUGGCCCACGUGUGGGUUUUUGCAGGUACCGCAUGAAUAAGGACCGGCUAAUUCCGUG
RNAcentral lists this ribosomal RNA (490 nucleotides) under uncultured bacterium. RNAcentral describes it as "partial 16S ribosomal RNA". It matches the Rfam family "Bacterial small subunit ribosomal RNA", at positions 28 to 507 of the family's 1533-position model. The record is from RNAcentral.